RNAcentral lists this long non-coding RNA (6749 nucleotides) under Malus domestica (apple). Its description in RNAcentral is "long non-coding RNA (MDOM_LNC017381)". The record is from RNAcentral. Lineage: Eukaryota; Viridiplantae; Streptophyta; Magnoliopsida; Rosales; Rosaceae.
UUGAAUUUGAGCUUUCUGUGAAUUUGGUUAUUCAUUCAUAAUUUCCAGUAUACAAGAAGGUGCCUAAUAUAUAGGAUUACAACAGUUGACUUUCUAUCUAUACUAGGUAAUUUAUACAUGACAUCAAUCUGCAUAAUCUCCAUGAUAUGAUCCUAAUAUAAAGUAGAACAUAUUCCUACAAUCAAGGAACCAAUCUUUCCGUUAAUACUCCCCCUCAAGUUGGAGAGUGAAUGUCAUGAACACCCAACUUGCCAAGUAUAGGGUGAAACAUUCCUUGUCCAAGUGACUUAGUAAAUAUGUCAGCAAGUUGAUUGGCAGAGGAAACAUGUGCUGUUGUAAUGGCGCCUGACAGGAUUCGUUCACGAACAAUACGGCAGUCUAUCUCAAUGUGUUUGGUGCGUUCAUGAAACACCGGAUUUGCAGCUAUGUGAAGUGUCGCUUGAUUAUCACAAUAGAGUCAAGCUGGCUUGUGGUGUGUAACCUGCAAGUCUCUUAGUAAAUAUUGCAUCCAUGUGAGCUCACAUGUUAUGGAAGCCAUGGCCCGAUAUUCUGAUUCGGCCGAGGAAUGUGAAACGGUACCUUGUUUCUUAGUUCUCCACGAUACAAGUGCUCUUCCAAGGAAUAUGCAAUAGCUUGUCACUGAUCAUCUCAUUAUGGAACAACGAGCCCAAUCCGCAUCACAAAAACCGGUUAACAACAAGGUGCCUUUGGAUGGAAAGAACAAACCUUGCCCAGGUGACCCUUUCAAAUAUCGUAAGAGACGAUGGACUGCGUCAAGAUGUGGUUUUCUUGGGUGUUGCAUGAAUUGACUCAAAAUGUGUACUGAGUAAGUGAUUUCUGGCCUUGUAAUGGUGAGGUAUAUGAGUCUCCCAACUAGCCGCCGAUAGUAAGAGGCAUUCUUGAGCAGUUCACCAUCCAUGGGCGAGAGCUUGACAUUCUCUUCCAUGGGAAUUUGACCGGCUUUGCCCCAAGUAGGCCUGCUUCGUCCAAUAUAUCUAAUGUGUACUUCCGUUGGGAUAUUGAGAUCCCAGUAGCUGAACGAGCAACCUCAACACCAAGGAAAUAUCGUAAAUGGCCAAAAUCCUUUAUACGGAAUUGGGUGUGAAGGAAAGCUUUAAGACUGGCUAUGGUUGAAUCAUCGUUGCCAGUGAUAAUCAUGUCAUCUACGUAGAUGAGUACCACAGUAAAGGAAUCACCUGAUACCUUUGUGAAUAAUGAGUAGUCGGCCAUGGAUUGCUGGAAGCUAUCUUGGCGAAUUGCAUUGGAGAACUUUUGGAACCAACUCCGGGAUGCCUGCUUAAGGCCAUAAAGGGAUUUGUUGAGUCGACAAACCAUUCGAGUCUCCCCCUGUCGAUGGAGCCCAGGAGGUAAGUGCAUGUAAACUUCCUCAAUUAAGUCACCAUGAAGGAAGGCAUUUUGAACGUGAAUUUGGUGGAGGGACCAAUUGCGAAUAGCGGCAACGGCAAGCAAGCAUCGCACAGUUGUGAGUUUGGCUACGGGAGCAAAAGUCUCUCGGUAAUCAAUUCCCUCACGUUGAGUAAAUCUCUUGGUGACCAAGCGAGCUUUAUAUCUUUCAACAUCUGAGUGGUAUUUGAUUUUAUAAACCCAUUUGCAACUGAUAGCACGAUGGCUAGGAGGCAAGGACGUGAUGGUCCAUGUAUUAUUCUGUUCGAGUGCUAAGAGCUCAGCAGCCAUGUCCUCUCUCCAUUUGGGAUCAUUGUUUUCCUGCUCAAAGGUCACAGGUUCUAUCUGUGUAGUGACAUUACAAAUGAAACGCCUGUAAGGAGUCGAAAGUUGUGCAUAAGAAAGGCAUGUAGAUAAAGGAAACCGCGUACUUGUGGAGGAGGAUGAAGAACUGGGGGCGACAAUGAAUGUAUGGUAGAGGUGGAAAUCGUGAAGUCGAACAUUGGGUUUGGGUACACGUGAAGAAUGCCGAAGUGGGGGGUUUGGUGGUGGUGUAGGCUGCAGGCCAAGUGGUGGAGAGGAUGUCAAUAGGGUGUUUAAGGUAGACGCUGAAGUAGGUGGGGCUAAGGUAGGUGGUGCUAGUGAAGGAGGUAUAUCAAGGGCGGGGAUGAUUGGGGAUGCAGUUACAGGCUCAUGAGGACUUGGCGUGAGGAAGUGUGUAGGGUUGUUAUCAAAGUCUAGGAGUUGUGGUGUGGGAAGACUGUGGCAUCAGGUUGCGACUGAGGUGGUAGAGUUUCAAAAGGGAAUAUAUGUUCGUAGAAAACAACAUCCCUUGAUGAAAAGAAUUUGCAUGUAGUGAGGUCAUAAACCCUAUAUCCCUUUUGACCUAGAGGGUAUCCUACAAAAAUGCAACGACAUGCUCGUUGGUCAAAUUUAUGCAUGGGCAAAAGGUUGGUAGCAUAACAUAGGCACCCAAAGCAACGUAGGUGUGUGUAUGUGGGUGGCAUUUUAUAAAGGAGUUCAUAUGGUGUUUGAUGGGAAAGUAGAGGUGUUGGUAAUCGAUUAAUUAAAUAGCAAGCAGUUUGUAUGCUUUCUCCCCAAAAUUCUAAUGGUAGGUUAGCUUGAAAACGAAGAGCUCGACCGACAUUUAGAAGAUGACGAUGCUUUCUCUCGACAACCCCGUUUUGUUGUGGGGUUGAUGGACAAGAAUGGUGAAAAUUGAUACCUUUGCUCUCAAGGAAUGGAUGCAUGGAGACAAAUUAUGUGCCAUUGUCGGCUCGAAGAGUUUUGAUUAUGCAAUUGAAUUGUGUUUGUACCCAAGAAAUAAAUGAUUGCAAUAGUGUUUGUGUCUCGGAUUUGAAUUUCAUAAGGUGAAUCCAUGUAUAUCUAGUGAAAUCAUCAACAAUUGUUAAGAAAUAACGAGCAUCGGAAUGUGAAUUUAUUUGAUGGGGUCCCCAAAUAUCACAAUGGAUUAAAUCAAAAGGUGCAACUGUAGAAAUAGAACUAGAUGGAAAUGACAAGCGAGUUUGUUUUGCUAAAGGGCAAAUUUCACACACAUGCUUUGAAUCAAAAUGGAUGUCUGGGGUCGUUUUUGAAAGAACUUCGAGGGGUCCAAUGGAUGGGUGUCGUAGUCGUUGGUGCCAGAGGUUGGAAUGGCGGAGGAUGUUGUAGGCGAGCUUAGGGUUCUGUUCUGGUGUGAGGUAAUAGAGGUCGUUAUGUCGUUUGCCCAGGCCAAUCAUCCUCCUUGUAGACACGUCCUGCACAACACAAAAUUCAGGGAAAAAUAUCACUAUGCAGUUUAACGCUCGAGUCAAUUUACUGACAGACAAAAGGUUAACUUUGAACUUAGGCACUUUGAGCACAUGGUCAAGUUUAAGAUUUGGUGUGACUUGGAGUGAACCAAUCGAUUCAAUACUUGUUUGAGUGCCAUCGGGGGUUUGAAUGGUGGCUGUAUGAGGCAAAUAUGAUGGAUUCAGCAAUGGAGAGGAAGCUGUCACAUGAUCCGUCGCUCCACUAUCAAUUAUCCAACCUAAAUGGGAAUGUGGAGCAACCGAAUUCACGUCACAUGAAGGUGUAACAAUAUCUGCAACAUUUGCGAAGUGGUGUGCAUUCCCAUCGUUGUUUUUCUGAAGCAUUGCCAUGAUUUGGUUGUAUUCUUCAGUGGUAAACCUUGGUCUGCAGGUUUGUUUGCGUCUCUCGCAUUUGGAUGAUUGGCAUUGGAACGUCUUUGGUUGGGAGGUUUGACAUUUUUCCCAUGGAACUUGUGGCCUGGAGGGAAACUAUUUAAAUAAUAGCAUGUUUCAAUGCUAUGUCUGUCCUGAUCACAGUAGGAGCAAUGAAGUGGGGUUCUCUUUUUUCUGAGCCUAAUGUGCUUGAUUUGUCAAUUCUCCAUUAUUCGCAGCGUGCAUGGCAUGAUGGCUGAUGCUAUCUCGAUUGUGAGACACUUCAACUUGCUUUUCUUGUUGAGAACGAGAGAAUGAACCCGCCUUGUAUCAGGGAGGGGCUGCAUCAAAAGAAUUUGGCCACGAAUGGCUGAAUAGUUGUCAUUCAAUCCCAUGAGGAAUUGCAUGACUUUUUCCUUAUAUUCUCUCUUCCUGAGUGUUUCCAAUCCUCCAUAAGAACAGGUUGCAGCCUCGUUGUAGGAGGAGAGUUCAUCCCACAUAGCCUUCAAUUUAGUGUAAUAGACAGUAACUGACUGCUGCCCUUGUCUAUGCUCCACGAUAUCCUUCUUUAUUUGGUAAAUCCUUGAGUCGUUUCCUUGAGAGAAACGUUCUCUUAAUUCUUCCCAGACCUUUGCCGCCGUGUUUGUGUACGUGACGCUGUUCCCAAUAUCUGAGUGUACAGAAUUUAGGAUCCAGGAUAUCACCAUGUCGUUGCAGCGCUGCCAUGAAGGAAAGUUUGGAUCGGUUUCUGCUGGUGCUUAGGGUGCGUUUGGUACGCGGGACGGGACGGGACGGAACGGGACGAAGCGUUCCGUCCCGCGUUUGGUGCGCUAAAAAUGGGUGGAACGGGCUGUUCCACGGGACAGAUUUUGGGUGUUUUUGCGUUCCACCUCCUCCCCCUGGAACGGGUUUGUUCCACGUAUGUGGAACACAAUGUUUUACCAUUUUAAGACAAAUAUACCCCAUGUCUUUUUCAAAAAUUACACCUUCGUUCCGUCCCGUCCCGUCCCGUCCCGUCCCGUCCCGUCCCGUCCCGUCUGCGUACCAAACGCACCCAUGUCUCAUGUGAUGAAGCCAAUUUUGUUCUUCUCGCUUAGACUGAUGCGCAUGGCACGACUCCAUGUACUGUAAUUAUCUCCUUCCAGUGGUUUGGAGACAAGAACAAGAUUCGGAUGAUCCGAAUGAUGCAGUGCAUAUGGGUCAGAGAUCUCACUAGAGUUCUCGACUGGUUUGGUCACUGGUUUGCUGGAAGAAAUAGUUGAUUCUGCCAUUCUAUGGUGGCGUUGCUUGUUGGAAGGAAUGUGUGUUGUAAACGCUUGUCGUGGCGGAAGCGUAUUUGGUUUUAGAGUCACCGGGAUCGGUGCUCUGAUACCAUCUUGAAUUUGAGCUUUCUGUGAAUUUGGUUAUUCAUUCAUAAUUUCCAGUAUACAAGAAGGUGCCUAAUAUAUAGGAUUACAACAGUUGACUUUCUAUCUAUACUAGGUAAUUUAUAAAUGAAAUCAAUCUACAUAAUCUCCAUGAUAUGAUCCUAAUAUAAAGCAGAACAUAAUCCUACAAUCAAGGAACCAAUCUUUCCGUUAAUAAAAUCCCAUGGAGGAUAAAGAACUAACCAAUCAAUCGUCCAUAAAUAUUACCGUCUGUGCUAGAAAAUAUCAUGAAUUUUUUUCAUAACACCACCAGAGCUAAGAAAUCCAAUUGGAAAUAGUAUCUACUGAACAUCAAUUAGAAUCCGGGAUAAAUGAUGUUUUACCAACCACUCAAGCAGUUACUAGUCAAAUUCAAAAUUGAUAAACCAACUUGAACACGACCCUUCUGGAGGAAUUUCUAUAUAUCAGCUAGAAAUUCAACUACGCUAGUGGCGCUGAAACAAUGAAGAAUUUCUUAUCUCUCGCUGUCAAUGAAAGAAACUAACAUACAAUAGAGCUUAUAUAAUGAGCUGAAAACACCUUGGCUAAUCAAACAGAAUCUAACUAAUCAAACAUGUGCCGAUAACAGUUCUAACAAUCCCACCUAAUUUGACGGACCACUGUUGACUCUAUUGACUUGCAGGCUAGGAUCCACUCUAUGAUGACUUGAAUGCUUUGACCCUGGGACUUUCUCUUCGGGAUAUAUGUCAAGUUUGAAGCUUUCCACAGACAUAGGUUCAACAACCUUCAAACUGAAACCACUUGCAUGAUUCACGAGCCAAAUAAAAAACCUAUGCAUGACAAGACUAUUAAAUGUACAUAAUGUCAGACUGACACGAUAAAAAAAAAGUAACACAACGGACUUUCUUAUUACUCACAAUCUGCAAAAACUUAAAAGACAGUUACUGUAUUCUAUGGUUGUAAUCAUCGCUACUAAAUAAACGCUCGUACCUGCGGAUCCAUGCAGUUAAAAGUAAACAGAUGUUAUCUCAUAUCCAAGUCAAAUGAUCCACAUCCUGUUCUGUAACUCAAAGAAGUUGACUUCAGUCAAAUUAGCCUAAUCUCACUUAGUUCCUCAAUUACAUUGUUUUUCGUUUUACAGGAUAGUACUAUAUCACAUAUACACACAAGUCUAUGUCCAAGUUUUUAAUUGUAUGUCAGCAACCCUUUAACUGUGUUAUGAAGUAAACUUGAUCAACGGUAUUGUUGGAGCGAAAUUUCCUACAUGAAAAAAUGCCUUCACAGAUUCGUUGACUAUAAUCCUCACUUUUGUUGAAUCGCUUGCAAGAGGCGUCCUCGAACAGUCUUUCUCCAAAGCUUCAUUUAGGUGAGGGUACCUGCAAAAUGUAUUGGCCCAAGCUGGAUUUUAUUCUCCCACAUUACCCCCUUUUCCCCUUUUUAACUGGUGCGUAAAAUAGGAGAAAACUGAAUUUUCAGUUGCUUGAGACCGAUGAAAUAAUAUUCUCUAAGCCAAGCUAAAACUUAAAACCAUUUUGCUAAAGCCAAAUUUGUGAAUGCCACUAUUUUUUUUUUUUUAUUAAGAAAAAAUACCACUUUUUCUAAAGCCAAAUUUACCAAAGCCACAUGACCCUUUCUUUUUUUCUUCGCUUGCAAAAGCCGACACCCUUUUCUUACCCUUGCCUAACUUACAAUGCCGACUGACACACUUAGAAUAACUUACGAAGUCCGACUAACAUUCUUCGCUUAAGUUACGAAAGUUAAUUGACACUCUUUGCCUAACUUACGAAAGCAAAAGCCGACUACACUCUUUGCCUAA